GGAGAAGCAUCAGCUGAGAGGAGCUAUCACAUGGGAGCCGGGAGCUGCUCAGCAAAGGUGAUCUCUUCCCAGUGGUAGCCCCUGGGCAGUGAGAGACAUUUUUAGAGAAGGUUCAAAUGCGGCCACUCCUUCCUGAAUGCCUGUUAUGUUCCAGCCGCUGUGGAGCUCCCAUCAGCAUGGCACGGUGGGCCGGACAACUGGCCCCGGAGCCGGGCCUCCUGGGUGUGCACCUGGACCUUGCCACUUACUAGCUGCGUGACCUUUGCUGCCUUUAUGAAGAAACUGAAGUUCAGAAGCGUCGCAGAGUUAAUAGGUCCCAGACCUGGGACGGGAAACCAGAUCGCCUGCCAUUCUGAGGAAACAAGAAAUCAGGAAAUUUACAUAAGCACCCUUAAAACUGGGGCACUAUCCCGGAGCUCAGCCGGACUGUGGGAAAGGGAGACAGAGGACUUAGAGUUCUCAGGAUAACAGUCCUUGGAAGGGGAGAAGGGCGUGGAGAAGAGAGGAGAGGAAGUAGAAAAGAAGGGGCCAGAGACACCCAGAGCUGGAGUGGCAGGUGGGCGAGGCUCCCGUGUCUCUCACCCCCUGCUUUUUUGCAGUCACCAAAGUGGAACCCAAGCUGCCUCCUGAGCCAAGUCCCCUUGAAGGCUGGCAAUACAAGUUUACUUGAGAGGCUGUAGCAGAAGGCACUCCCCCGCCUCCUCCCCAGCAGCCAACACACACACACACACACACACACACACACACACACAGUUGGGAAGCCUAGGCCUGGGUUUGCCAUCCCAGGGUCAUUGGACUAGGAUGGGGGAUGGGCCUGUGACAGGAGGUGCCUUGGGUGUCCUCUUUCGGCCCCAUGGAGUCCUCACCCAUCCCCCAGUCAGCAGGGAAUGCUUCCACUCUAGGGAGGGUCCCUCAGACCCCAGGUCCCUCUACUGCCAGUGGGGUCCCAGAGGUGGGGCUGCGGGACGUGGCUUCGGAAUCCGUGGCCCUCUUCUUCAUGCUCCUGCUGGACUUGACCGCCGUGGCCGGCAAUGCUGCUGUGAUGGCUGUUAUCGCCAAGACGCCCGCCCUUCGAAAAUUUGUCUUUGUCUUCCACCUCUGCCUGGUGGACCUGCUGGCCGCUCUGACCCUCAUGCCCCUGGCCAUGCUCUCCAGCUCCGCCCUCUUUGACCAGGACCUCUUUGGGGAGGUCGCCUGCCGCCUCUACCUGUUCCUGAGUGUGUGCUUUGUCAGCCUGGCCAUUCUGUCGGUGUCGGCCAUCAACGUGGAGCGCUACUACUACGUGGUCCACCCCAUGCGCUACGAGGUGCGCAUGACCCUGGGGCUGGUGGCCUCCGUUCUGGUGGCUGUGUGGGUAAAGGCCUUGGCCAUGGCUUCUGUGCCAGUGUUGGGAAGGGUCUCCCGGGAGGAGGGAGCGCCCAGCGUCCCCCUAGGCUGCUCACUCCAAUGGAGCCACAGUGCCUACUGCCAGCUUUUCGUGGUGGUCUUUGCGGUCCUUUACUUCUUGCUGCCCCUGCUCCUCAUCCUCGUGGUCUACUGCAGCAUGUUCCGAGUGGCCCGCGUGGCUGCCAUGCAGCACGGCCCGCUGCCCACGUGGAUGGAGACGCCCCGGCAACGCUCCGAGUCUCUCAGCAGCCGCUCCACGAUGGUCACCAGCUCGGGGGCCCCCCAGACCACCCCGCACCGGACGUUUGGGGGCGGGAAGGCGGCCGUGGUCCUCCUGGCCGUGGGGGGACAGUUCCUGCUCUGCUGGUUGCCCUACUUUUCUUUUCACCUCUACGUUGCCCUGAGCGCUCAGCCCACGUCGACGGGGCAGGUGGAGAGCGUGGUGACCUGGAUUGGCUACUUCUGCUUCACGUCUAACCCUUUCUUCUACGGCUGCCUCAAUCGGCAGAUCCGCGGGGAGCUCAGCAAGCAGUUCGUCUGCUUCUUCAAGCAGGCCCCGGAGGAGGAGCUGAGGCUGCCCAGCCGGGAGGGCUCCAUCGAGGAGAACUUCCUGCAGUUUCUCCAGGGCACUGGCUGUCCCACGGAGUCCUGGGUUUCCCGCCCUGUACCCAGCCCCAAGCAGGAGCCAGCCGCUGUUGACUUUCGAAUCCCAGGCCAGAUAGCCGAGGAGACCUCCGAGUUCCUGGAGCAACACCUCACCAGCGACAUCGUCGUGUCAGACGGCUACCUCCGCCCUGCCCCCUCACCGCGACGGGAGUCCUGAUGGGCUGCUGGACACGAGGAGGGAGAUGGGGCUGGGGGCUGGUUAUGACUGCAGGGAACUCCUUGUGGGAUCACCUUUCUCCGGCUAGCUGGGGCUGCGGCUGGGGUCUCUGCACACAGCUUUUGCUUAGUGUUUUCUGGGUCAGCAACAGAGCCAACAGGAUGGAUGUGUGGCAAAAGCUUGGACCUGGCUAUGAUCCUUGACUUCUGGGGGAGGGGAACCUGGUGAGAUGGUGACGAGAGUAAAGGGUCAUGAAGAACUGGACUCCCUGAUCUCUCUCCUCAUGGCAGUGACCCAUCGCCAGCCCCCUGGACAAUCGGGUACAAGAGAAAAGGUAACAUUAAAGAGUCAAGACAGGACCAGACGGUGGAGUGGCUGACCUGUAUUUGACAAAUCCCUGGCUU
This 2613-nucleotide long non-coding RNA is filed under the name Sus scrofa (pig). RNAcentral's name for it is "lncRNA (ENSSSCG00050044586.1)". Lineage: Eukaryota; Metazoa; Chordata; Mammalia; Artiodactyla; Suidae. The record is from RNAcentral.